UCCCGAGCAAUCGGGAAAGUAGAGUGGCGCACGGGUGAGUAACACGUAGGUAAUCUACCUUCGGAUGGGGAAUAACCCCGAGAAAUCGGGGCUAAUACCGCAUAAUGCAGCGGCACCUAAUGGUGACAGUUGUUAAAGCGGGGGAUCGAAAGACCUCGCGUCUGAAGAGGAGCCUGCGGCGGAUUAGCUAGUUGGUAAGGUAAUGGCUUACCAAGGCGACGAUCCGUAACCGGCCUGAGAGGGCGGACGGACACACUGGGACUGAGACACGGCCCAGACUCCUACGGGAGGCAGCAGUGGGGAAUUGUUCGCAAUGGGCGCAAGCCUGACGACGCAACGCCGCGUGGAGGAUGAAGAUCUUCGGGUCGUAAACUCCUGUCGAGUGGGAAGAAUAGUUUCCGGGCGAAUAUCCCGGGAACCUGACGGUACCACUAAAGGAAGCCCCGGCUAACUCCGUGCCAGCAGCCGCGGUAAUACGGGGGGGGCAAGCGUUGUUCGGAAUUACUGGGCGUAAAGGGCUCGUAGGCGGCCAACUAAGUCAGAUGUGAAAUCCCCAGGCUUAACCUGGGAACUGCGUCUGAUACUGGAUGGCUUGAAUUCGGGAGAGGGAUGCAGAAUUCCAGGUGUAGCGGUGAAAUGCGUAGAUAUCUGGAGGAAUACCGGUGGCGAAGGCGGCAUCCUGGACCGACAUUGACGCUGAGGAGCGAAAGCUAGGGGAGC
RNAcentral lists this ribosomal RNA (720 nucleotides) under uncultured Acidobacteriota bacterium. Its description in RNAcentral is "bacterial SSU rRNA". It matches the Rfam family "Bacterial small subunit ribosomal RNA", at positions 73 to 769 of the family's 1533-position model. Lineage: Bacteria; Pseudomonadati; Acidobacteriota. The record is from RNAcentral.